Molecule: long non-coding RNA, 749 nt
Filed under: Homo sapiens (human)
Lineage: Eukaryota; Metazoa; Chordata; Mammalia; Primates; Hominidae
Description: HSALNT0347471
Source: RNAcentral
ACUCCUCCAGAUGGUCCAGCUGAGGCCCUCUUGGACAACACUUCCUCUCCUGCCCAUGGUGGGAGGUUGGGAAGGACAUUCCCCCAUUUCCAUUUGCUCUGCCAUUCAAAACCUUGUGAGGGCCCUCAGGGAAGAAUCCCUUUGCAGAUGAGGAAACUGAGGCCCCACGUGGUGAAGACAAUUUUUACCCGAAUCCACCCACAACAAGAGACCAUUUGGAUAAUGUACAUUAUGGGAAGAGAACAGAGUCUCAGUGAAGAUCAUGUUUCCCCAGCAACACAGGUGCCAGGAGUAGCUGGCUCUGGUCCCAGCCCAGACUCAGAAAUCCUGAGCCACCAGACCAUUUCUAGAUUAACAAUGACCCACUGGAAACCAGUGUCAGCAUAACAACAGUUACGAGAGCUAAACCUACAAAAUAGGAACUACAAGAAAAGAAUUCCUGCCUGAGAAAGGAGUGGAAGACCCAUGAGAUACCUUCUUCAGAACCUCUGGCAGCCUUCCUGGGAUGUGGAAAACACUGUUUGUUUUUCCUUCCAUUUCAUUUAGAUGAAGAGUUGACUACUCGCACAGUCAUACAGUUGAUGGCAUUGUCAGGAAUAAUCUGUAAAUAAUCUGUAACACUCAUGUUUACUCAUAAACAGAUCCCUCUUUCCUGGACCAAAUUGCAGUUUUCUUUGGAAACUAUUUUAAUCAAGCCUUUUUCGUUUCAAAGUAACAUCAACUCACAUCAAACUAACUCAAGCCAGCCA